Molecule: ribosomal RNA, 784 nt
Filed under: uncultured bacterium
Lineage: Bacteria
Description: bacterial SSU rRNA
Rfam family: Bacterial small subunit ribosomal RNA
Source: RNAcentral
AGAGUUUGAUCCUGGCUCAGAACGAACGCUGGCGGCGUGCUUAACACAUGCAAGUCGAGUGCGCGCCUGUAGCAAUACAGGUGGCGCACGGUGCACGGGUGCGUAACACGUGGGUAAUCUGCCCUCUGAUGGGGAAUAACUCGUCGAAAGGUGAGCUAAUUCCGCAUAAUAUUCCGAGAACUUUGUUUUUUGGACUGAAAGGCGUAAGUCGUCGGAGGAGGAGCCCGCGCACGAUUAGCUAGUUGGUAGGGUAAUGCCCUACCAAGGCUUUGAUCGUUAGCUGGUCUGAGAGGAUGGCCAGCCACACUGGAACUGAGACACGGUCCAGACUCCUACGGGAGGCAGCAGUGGGGAAUCUUGCACAAUGGGCGAAAGCCUGAUGCAGCGACGCCGCGUGGGGGAUGAAGCUUCUCGGAGUGUAAACCCCUUUCGAUCCGGACGAAACCCCGCAAGGGAUUGACGGUACGGAUAUAAGAAGCCCCGGCUAACUACGUGCCAGCAGCCGCGGUAAUACGUAGGGGGCCAGCGUUGUUCGGAAUUACUGGGUGUAAAGGGUUCGUAGGCGGUGCGGCAAGUUGGGAGUGAAAUCUCUGGGCUUAACCCAGAGACGGCUUCCAAAACUGCUGUGCUUGAGUGUGGGAGAGGCUCGUGGAAUUGCAGGUGUAGCGGUGAAAUGCGUAGAUAUCUGCAGGAACACCCGUGGCGAAAGCGGCGAGCUGGACCACUACUGACGCUGAAGAACGAAAGCUAGGGGAGCAAACAGGAUUAGAUACCCCCGUAGUCC